GGGUUGUGAGGUUAAGCGACUAAGCGUACACGGUGGAUGCCCUGGCAGUCAGAGGCGAUGAAGGGCGUGCUAAUCUGCGAUAAGCGCCGGUAAGGUGAUAUGAACCGUUAUAACCGGCGAUACCCGAAUGGGGAAACCCAGUGUGAUUCGUCACACUAUCAUUAACUGAAUCCAUAGGUUAAUGAGGCGAACCGGGGGAACUGAAACAUCUAAGUACCCCGAGGAAAAGAAAUCAACCGAGAUUCCCCCAGUAGCGGCGAGCGAACGGGGAGGAGCCCAGAGCCUGAAUCAGCAUGUGUGUUAGUGGAAGCGUCUGGAAAGGCGCGCGAUACAGGGUGACAGCCCCGUACACAAAAGCGCAUGUGCUGUGAGCUCGAUGAGUAGGGCGGGACACGUGGUAUCCUGUCUGAAUAUGGGGGGACCAUCCUCCAAGGCUAAAUACUCCUGACUGACCGAUAGUGAACCAGUACCGUGAGGGAAAGGCGAAAAGAACCCCGGCGAGGGGAGUGAAAAAGAACCUGAAACCGUGUACGUACAAGCAGUGGGAGCCCCACCACCAAAGCAUUUGCUGUACCGCGUUGACGGAGCGAAGCGACGUCAAACCGAUAAAACAGCAGUGU
Molecule: ribosomal RNA, 620 nt
Filed under: Salmonella enterica subsp. enterica serovar Enteritidis
Lineage: Bacteria; Pseudomonadati; Pseudomonadota; Gammaproteobacteria; Enterobacterales; Enterobacteriaceae
Description: partial 23S ribosomal RNA
Rfam family: Bacterial large subunit ribosomal RNA
Source: RNAcentral